Molecule: ribosomal RNA, 118 nt
Filed under: Vitis vinifera (wine grape)
Lineage: Eukaryota; Viridiplantae; Streptophyta; Magnoliopsida; Vitales; Vitaceae
Source: RNAcentral
AGGUGCGAUCAUACCAACACUAAUGCACCAGAUCCCAUCAGAACUCCGCAAUGAAGGGUGUUUAGGCGAGAGUAGUACUUGGAUGGGUGACCUCUUGGGAAGUCCUCGUGUGCACCCC